UCACACGCGGGGAAAGUUGCGUGAGGGACUUCUCAUGCGUACGAGCCGCGUCGCGUCUCCCCCCCCCUCCCCCAAGGACCAUGACACGUGGGCCAUAGCAACCGACCUAGCCCGGCCCCACACGCUUCGCAUCCUUACCCAUCAAAACCAAACCACGGGCCUCCUCACCCCGCCGCACGCCGCCUUCCUCCCAGAUCCAAACCUCCCUCGUCGUCUCCCCUUCCCCUCCUCCUCCUCGACCCCCACGGCGGCGGCGCCACCGGACUCCGGCGAACCCUCGCGCGCGCGCGCACGCACCGAGACGUACCGUACCGGCGACAUGAAUCCCUACGACCUCCGCUACGCCGACCCUUCCUCCUACCGCGACAGGCGCAGCGACCUUGCCGGGGCUCCCGUGCUCGCCGCGUCGGCCCCCGCGGCCGCCAACCCCUACGCCGCCGCGUACGCGCCCGCGCCGGCUGCUCCCGUGGCCCCCGCUGGUGGCGACUUCUCGCGCUUCGGCGGGAGAGGCCGUGGUGGAGGCGCGGGCGGCGGUGGGUGGGGUAGAGGUGGUGGUGGUGGUGGUGGCGCUGGCGGAUACCGAGGCGGCGGUGGGAGAGGAGGUGGAAGGGACGCGCUGGACUCGCUCUCCUUGCCGAAGCCUGACUUCCGGAGCCUUAUACCCUUCGAGAAGAACUUCUAUGUGGAGUGCCCCGCCGUGCAGGCCAUGUCAGACAUGGAUGUGUCGCAGUAUCGUCGCCAGCGUGAUAUCACUGUUGAAGGCCACGACGUGCCCAAGCCGGUUCGCUACUUCCAGGAGGCCAACUUCCCAGAUUACUGUAUGCAAGCAAUAGCCAAGAGUGGAUUCGUAGAGCCCACGCCUAUUCAGUCACAAGGUUGGCCAAUGGCUUUGAAGGGCAGGGACAUGAUCGGUAUCGCACAAACUGGCUCUGGGAAAACACUAUCUUACCUUCUCCCUGGGUUGGUUCAUGUUGGUGCACAGCCUCGACUAGAACAAGGUGAUGGCCCAAUUGUUCUGAUCCUUGCUCCUACAAGAGAACUGGCUGUUCAAAUACAACAAGAAUCUGGCAAAUUUGGAUCAUACUCAAGAACUAGAAGCACUUGUAUCUAUGGUGGAGCACCUAAGGGACCACAAAUACGUGACCUUAGGAGAGGGGUUGAGAUUGUCAUUGCAACACCUGGUCGGUUGAUCGAUAUGCUGGAAGGUGGUCACACUAACCUGCGAAGAGUAACAUACCUCGUCCUGGAUGAGGCUGACCGCAUGCUUGACAUGGGUUUUGAGCCCCAGAUUCGUAAAAUAGUGGCACAGAUCCGGCCAGACAGGCAAACCUUGUAUUGGAGUGCCACUUGGCCAAGAGAAGUAGAAUCCUUGGCUAGACAAUUUCUGCAGAACCCAUACAAGGUAAUCAUAGGAUCACCUGAUCUGAAAGCUAAUCAUUCCAUACAGCAAAUUAUUGAGGUCAUAUCUGAACACGAAAAGUAUCCCAGACUCAGUAAACUUUUAUCUGAUCUAAUGGAUGGAAGCAGAAUCUUGAUAUUUUUCCAAACUAAAAAGGACUGUGACAAGGUCACUCGUCAACUUAGAAUGGAUGGAUGGCCAGCAUUAUCUAUUCAUGGUGACAAAGCUCAAGCAGAAAGGGACUAUGUUCUGGCAGAGUUCAAGAGUGGGAAAAGUCCUAUAAUGGCUGCCACAGAUGUAGCGGCACGUGGUCUUGGUAUGGUGACUUGUUUGAAAAUUAGAAUUAGGUUGUAGUUCCAAGUGCUCAAGGAUGAUAAGUCGGAGGGCUGUCAGCUGUUUUUGGUUGAGUGAACUGAACUUGUGGAUUGAUGGUGUAUGCAAGGUGCCAUCAUGUCAGAGAUGUCAAGGAUAUUAAGUGUGUGAUAAAUUUUGAUUUUCCAACAACUCUUGAAGAUUAUAUUCACAGAAUAGGUCGAACUGGCCGCGCUGGUGCUAGUGGAACUGCAUUCACCUUUUUCACACUCUCCAAUGCAAAAUUCUCCAGGAAUCUUGUUAAGAUCUUGAGGGAAGCUGGCCAGGUUGUGAAUCCAGCGCUAGAAUCUAUGGCUAAAUCUGCCAGUUCUAUGGGAGGAGGCAAUUUCCGGUCAAGGGGGCGUGGUGGGUUUGGUAACAGAUCUGGCUCAAAUAGCAUUCCCAUAAGAGGAAGAAGGCCAUACUGAGGGCGGCAAAAAGAUUAAAACUUUUACUGUAUACCGAUAGGUAUUAAAUGCAUUCUUUGGUAAAUUUCCUUUGAGAUUCCCUCGACUGCUUGAUUGACAUAAGUCAAUUUUCAUUGAUUGGAGGUGGAACAUGUCACACGAAUGGCCAAAUAUACUUAUCCAACAGCGUAGGAUAUGUGUUCCAAGUUUAGCUUCGACUUGGAGAAUGGUUUGUCCAGUGUUAUUUUGACUAUUGAGGCAACGUCCUCGUGCGGUACUGGUUAUUGUUUACUAUUGUUGGGUUACUUGAAAGAACAGUUUGCUCCAUUUGUUAUCUUUUUAGUAUCCGGGUUAUUGUUUACUAUUGUUGGGUUACUUGAAAGAACAGUUUGCUCCAUUUGUUAUCUUUUUAGUA
This is a non-coding RNA of Oryza sativa Japonica Group (Japanese rice), 2572 nucleotides long. NCBI's taxonomy places the organism in Eukaryota, Viridiplantae, Streptophyta, Magnoliopsida, Poales, Poaceae. The record is from RefSeq and is a predicted model, not a curated record.